Molecule: ribosomal RNA, 451 nt
Filed under: uncultured bacterium
Lineage: Bacteria
Description: bacterial SSU rRNA
Rfam family: Bacterial small subunit ribosomal RNA
Source: RNAcentral
GUGAGGAAUUUUGCGCAAUGGGGGAAACCCUGACGCAGCAACGCCGCGUGAGUGAAGAAGGCCUUCGGGUUGUAAAGCUCUGUCAAGUGGGAAGAACCUUUUUCGGCUGAAUAAGCCGAAAAACUGACGGUACCGCUGAAGGAAGCACCGGCUAACUCCGUGCCAGCAGCCGCGGUAAUACGGAGGGUGCAAGCGUUAUUCGGAUUUAUUGGGCGUAAAGGGCGUGUAGGUGGUCUGAUAAGUCAGGUGUGAAAGCCCCUGGCUCAACCAGGGAAGUGCAUUUGAAACUAUCAGACUUGAGUACGGGAGGGGGAAGUGGAAUUCCUGGUGUAGAGGUGAAAUUCGUAGAUAUCAGGAGGAAUACCGGUGGCGAAGGCGACUUCCUGGACCGAUACUGACACUGAGACGCGAAAGCGUGGGGAGCAAACAGGAUUAGAAACCCCAGUAGUCC